GACGAACGCUGGCGGCGUGCUUAAUACAUGCAAGUCGAGCGUGAAAGUCCCUUCGGGGAUGAGUAAAGCGGCGCACGGGUGAGGAACACGUAGAUGAUCUGCCCCUGAGACUGAGAUAACCCUGGGAAACCGGGGCUAAUACCGGAUGAAGCAUCAUUAUUGGUUUGAUGAUGUUAAAGUGGCGCAAGUCACACUUGGGGAUGAGUCUGCGACCUAUCAGCUAGUUGGGGGUGUAAUGGACCACCAAGGCGAAGACGGGUAGCUGGUCUGAGAGGAUGAUCAGCCACACUGGGACUGAGACACGGCCCAGACUCCUACGGGAGGCAGCAGUAGGGAAUAUUGCGCAAUGGGGGCAACCCUGACGCAGCGACGCCGCGUGAGUGAUGAAGGCCUUUCUGGUUGUAAAGCUCUGUAAGGAGGGAAGAACCGCAAGUGGUAACGCACUUGUCUGACGGUACCUCCGGAGUAAGGACCGGCUAAAUACGUGCCAG
This 491-nucleotide ribosomal RNA is filed under the name uncultured bacterium. RNAcentral's name for it is "bacterial SSU rRNA". It matches the Rfam family "Bacterial small subunit ribosomal RNA", at positions 28 to 511 of the family's 1533-position model. The record is from RNAcentral.